Long non-coding RNA from Solanum verrucosum, 401 nucleotides. RefSeq lists it as uncharacterized. The record is from RefSeq and is a predicted model, not a curated record. The transcript is spliced from 3 exons. NCBI's taxonomy places the organism in Eukaryota, Viridiplantae, Streptophyta, Magnoliopsida, Solanales, Solanaceae.
GUUAUAGCAGGGAGGUUCAAUCAAAGAUGCAGCACAAUGUGAGACGGUGGAGCAAGAGAUGCAGCUGAGUGCAAAGUGGGACCAUGAUUGCUUUGAGAACAACACCGGUAACAUUGCCUAUGAAGGGGCACAUAUUUCCUCUGUUUGUUACAGAACAACUAGUGUCUUGGAUUACUUAGAGAACAACACCGGUGACACGGCCUAUGAAGAGCACAUGCUUCCUCUGUUUGUAACAGAACAACUAGUGUCUGGGCCUGAGAAAGAGAUUCACGAAAUCUUUAUAUCCUGGUAUUAUUAUUAAAGAUGAAUGUGUGAGAAGCAAGAAAACUUCACCAAAACGGGUGGAUGAAAGAAGCCAUGGAACUAUCAGUAAGUCGCCUCACAUCACAAAGCAAACGGAA